RNAcentral lists this ribosomal RNA (252 nucleotides) under uncultured bacterium. Its description in RNAcentral is "partial 16S ribosomal RNA". It matches the Rfam family "Bacterial small subunit ribosomal RNA", at positions 525 to 776 of the family's 1533-position model. The record is from RNAcentral.
ACAGAGGGUGCGAACGUUGUUCGGAAUUACUGGGCGUAAAGCGCGUGUAGGCGGCGGCGCAAGUCGGAUGUGAAAGCCCACGGCUCAACCGUGGAAGUGCAUUCGAAACUGCGUGGCUAGAGUCCUGGAGAGGAAGGUGGAAUGCUUGGUGUAGAGGUGAAAUUCGUAGAUAUCAAGCGGAACACCGGUGGCGAAGGCGGCCUUCUGGACAGUGACUGACGCUGAGACGCGAAAGCGUGGGGAGCAAACAGG